Molecule: ribosomal RNA, 403 nt
Filed under: bacterium
Lineage: Bacteria
Description: partial 16S ribosomal RNA
Rfam family: Bacterial small subunit ribosomal RNA
Source: RNAcentral
UGGGGAAUAUUGCACAAUGGGGGAAACCCUGAUUCAGCGACGCCGCGUGAACGAAGAAGGUAUUCGUAUCGUAAAGUUCUGUCCUAUGGGAAGAUAAUGACAGUACCAUAGAAGAAAGCUCCGGCUAAAUACGUGCCAGCAGCCGCGGUAAUACGUAUGGAGCGAGCGUUGUCCGGAAUUAUUGGGCGUAAAGGGUACGCAGGCGGUUUAAUAAGUCGAAUGUUAAAGAUCGGGGCUCAACCCCGCAAAGCAUUGGAAACUGAUAAACUUGAGUAGUGGAGAGGAAAGUGGAAUUCCUAGUGUAGUGGUGAAAUACGUAGAUAUUAGGAGGAAUACCAGUAGCGAAGGCGACUUUCUGGACACAAACUGACGCUGAGGUACGAAAGCGUGGGGAGCAAACAGG